GGGUUAGUAGGUUGGUCAUGCCUCUGGUAUGUACUGGUCUCACUGAUUCCUCCUGCCUGAUGAGCCGUAAUGCCAUUAAUUUGGUGUUGCGGGGAAUUUGGACUGUUACUUUGAAAAAAUUAGAGUGUUUAAAGCAGACUAUCGCCUGAAUACAUUAGCAUGGAAUAAUGAAAUAGGACGUUCGAUCCUAUUUUGUCGGUUUCUAGGAUCGACGUA
RNAcentral lists this ribosomal RNA (216 nucleotides) under Campeiostachys nutans. RNAcentral describes it as "Elymus nutans partial small subunit ribosomal RNA". The stretch from base 75 to 216 matches the Rfam family "Eukaryotic small subunit ribosomal RNA", at positions 721 to 864 of the family's 1831-position model. The record is from RNAcentral. Lineage: Eukaryota; Viridiplantae; Streptophyta; Magnoliopsida; Poales; Poaceae.